AAAACGACUCUCGGCAACGGAUAUCUCGGCUCUCGCAUCGAUGAAGAACGUAGCGAAAUGCGAUAUGUGGUGUGAAUUGCAGAAUCCCGUGAACCAUCGAGUCUUUGAACGCAAGUUGCGCCCGAAGCCUUCUGGCCGAGGGCACGCCUGCCUGGGUGUCAUGC
RNAcentral lists this ribosomal RNA (164 nucleotides) under Turnera scabra. RNAcentral's name for it is "5.8S ribosomal RNA". It matches the Rfam family "5.8S ribosomal RNA". From Rfam's summary of the family: 5.8S ribosomal RNA (5.8S rRNA) is a component of the large subunit of the eukaryotic ribosome. RNAcentral also lists the same sequence under 2 other names. Lineage: Eukaryota; Viridiplantae; Streptophyta; Magnoliopsida; Malpighiales; Passifloraceae. The record is from RNAcentral.